UCCAUACUUCCGCGGUGAUCUGUAAUUGUGUAUACUUAUAGAAAAUAUAUUGUAAAGUGCUAUUUUUUUGUUAAGAUCAGGUGUUAUCUCUCUAAUUGAAUGUUUAGAUGCACGCUUUGAUACCUUCCAGUGAAGUUAUUCAAUGAAAUGGUGCGAAAAGGCAUAACCUAUUAGCAGAGAUCAUAUGCUUGAAGUCUUCAAGCCAACUAUCCUGCUUCCUGGUUGGNNNNNNNNNNNNNNNNNNNNNNNNNUUGGAAAUGAGAGGUUUUCUUGGGGUUGUGUACUCUUCUUGAUGUGUUUCCUAACCCUUUUCCCCAAUUUGGGUGGUACAUUCUCCAGCUCAUUUUUUGGUGCUCCAUACUUCCGCGGUGAUCUGUAAUUGUGUAUACUUAUAGAAAAUAUAUUGUAAAGUGCUAUUUUUUUGUUAAGAUCAGGUGUUAUCUCUCUAAUUGAAUGUUUAGAUGCACGCUUUGAUACCUUCCAGUGAAGUUAUUCAAUGAAAUGGUGCGAAAAGGCAUAACCUAUUAGCAGAGAUCAUAUGCUUGAAGUCUUCAAGCCAACUAUCCUGCUUCCUGUUGACUGAUUAUGUAAGUGGUUUUUGUGUAGAGUCAGAUGUUCUGAUAUUCUCUGAAACAUUUCUGGGCAUAGCUAUGCCUAAUCUGGAUAUGCUGGUUGCAUUUCCCAAUAAUCGGAAUUGCAUCAUGAUAUGAAUCAUAAAAUAAUAAUCACUAUAUCAGACCUAUUGUAAAGCAGGAAGCAGGUAACUUUCAUGAUUUGUAUCCCAAGUUGAUAGCAGAAAAAAGUAGAGUAAUUGUUUCUAUGCGGUGGCAAGCUCGUUGAAGACAGAUGAAAGCUGUCACACUGAUACAGGGCUUAGCUGUAUACCCUCUUCCAUGUAUUUCAAUGUUUUAUUAUGUUUGUGUCAUUCAGUAACUGAAUUCAUUGAGAAUACUGAUAUGAACAAUUUGUUGUUGUGUUAUAUGCAAAUAAGACUAUAAAGGAAUACUUCUGUAACCUGUAGUUCUCUCAGUUUGCGGAGUUAAAACGAUCUGUAAGGUAUCCUUGGAUUUUAAGUUUGUGAUUUUGUUUUGCUUUCAAC
This 1099-nucleotide long non-coding RNA is filed under the name Nicotiana tabacum (common tobacco). RNAcentral describes it as "long non-coding RNA (NTAB_LNC010041)". Lineage: Eukaryota; Viridiplantae; Streptophyta; Magnoliopsida; Solanales; Solanaceae. The record is from RNAcentral.